UUAAGUCAAAUUUGUAUAGAGCUGGAACGUUUGCCUACGUUUGUCGCUAGGGGCGCUGUUCCAACUGCAUACAAAUAUGAGUUA
Molecule: non-coding RNA, 84 nt
Organism: Bombyx mori (domestic silkworm)
Lineage: Eukaryota; Metazoa; Arthropoda; Insecta; Lepidoptera; Bombycidae
Source: Rfam